Molecule: long non-coding RNA, 1924 nt
Filed under: Androctonus crassicauda
Lineage: Eukaryota; Metazoa; Arthropoda; Arachnida; Scorpiones; Buthidae
Source: RNAcentral
AUUAUGACAAUCAAUUGGUUAGUUUUUCACGCUAUGUUUCUCAAUAUUGUAUAUGUGUGUAUUUUUUUGCAAAUAUUGCCAAUGCUGUCAGACAAAAUUACAUUUGUAAUUUUCCGUCGCCACAUUGUCGUUACCCAUAUAACUACAACAAUAUGAGAAAGAAUAAGAAGUAAAUUACGAUUAAAUCUGCUUUUACGUAAUAAUUGCUGUUGGGAUACAAUACAAUCCCCAGGGUGGAUUGCACUAGUUUUUUUGCAUCCAUAAAAAAAGGAAAAUUAUCUGGUAUAAUGUUUACACAUUUGUGCAAAACGCAGAUAUAAAAUCAACUUCCAAAAACAGCCUGAAAAUAAGAAACGUGAUCAAGUCGACCUUGGGAACUAGAUUCUAUCUGACUGUUUCCCCGCUGAGUUCACACCUGCAGUAGUACAGCGAGAGUGAUUUCUCUGACAUGACGUCAUCCGACUAAAGAAAACCAGAUUUAACCACCGAUUAAUGUUAUAUAUAAACAGUAUACACGUUUUUUUUUUUUCCUUUCAUUUAAGUAGCAAAGGCCUUUCACGGUUGUUAGCAUCCCUUAUAAGGGUCGUUGUCUAAUCCCUGUCGAAGGAUAAUGGACGGUAUGCAAAUUUAUACCCUUCCUGAACAUUUUCUGCUGCAUUUUUAGAAGUUGUAUCGGUUUGAAGAGCAGAAAGAUGCGUGCUUUCCUGCCAUCGGUAUCAUUCGCUACGUAAAUUCUAGUUAAUUUUGGGCAAUGGGGCAUCGGUUGAAGUAUCGGGAUGCAGCUGCACCACUGCACUAAUGAUUUACUUGCAGUUUCUUCUCCAUCUGGUGUCACUACAUCGAAACUCGCUCCCAGCUAAAUAGCCCCGGGAAUAAACGGGAAUGUGUACUGCGUGGGUUCCGACUGCGCUCAGUUGCAACGGAUACUUGUACGAAUGUAGUACAACGAUGAAAGCUUGUGUAGCUGUCUGCAUUUCGCGAGUUGGUGAGUACCCGCUCCACUUUCUAACCGAAUCUCCGUCUAGAGAAGACUCGCAAUUAACAUUAACCUCUUUAAAAAAAGCACUCUGUCGCACGCGAUUAGAACAUUGAGCGCUGUUUAAAUCGUUCUACAAACGUGCAAAAUUUCAUUAUUAAAGCGAUAAAGACAGUUUUCGAAAACCUUUAACUGUUUUUCAAAUCGAUUUCUGCUUAUUACAAAAAAAAACCCGACCAUUAUCCUAGAUUAAUUCAAGCAGAACAAGUGUUCCUUUCGGUUUAAUGCGAUAACGAUUAAUCGGAAAGGCAAAAAAAAACCGAUUUCGAUUUGUAAAUCUGAACGAUUUUCUGCUCGUUACACCAAAAUAAUUGAGAAAAAGUAACGAUCAGCGUUACGUAUCUCGAUCGAUAGUAUCGUAUUAACCAUUGAACUUUGACUCUGAUUCAUCCAACUCGUUAACAUCCCCGAUAUUUCCAUUCAUAUGUUUCUCGUUAGAAUAUUUAGCUUUAUUAUUAAUUUAAUCAAAACGAAACCUUCUUAAAUCGAUAAGAAGAGCUUAAAAACAAGGAAGAGGUGAUUAACGACAUCGACCUUCUAUGUGAUUUAUUGUAAACAGAAUUAAAAUCUUAAUGGGCAAGCUAAUUGCUUUCAGGCCACGGAUCAAACUGAGUAAUUUGCAAUUAAAAAUCCGCCUGAAUGUGCAAUAACGGUUUUAUAUUUUUAAAAGUUCCGCUCUCAAAUGGUCUUCCACUUAUUAAAUUUCUAAAUUUAAGUUGACCUAAACUCGAUAUAAUUCAACCUAUUUAGCAUAAGUCGUUCCAUUUAUAAAUUCGAUCAGAACAUUUUCGAUACUCGAUAAACUAGGCUACCAUUCAGUUACAUUAUUAUUAUUAUUAUUUUUUUACUCCUACGCGAGAUAGAUAGGCCGCUAAAAUGAUUCAAUCU